RNAcentral lists this RNase P RNA (361 nucleotides) under Clostridiales bacterium. RNAcentral describes it as "RNase P RNA component class A". It matches the Rfam family "Bacterial RNase P class A". Rfam says of the family: Ribonuclease P (RNase P) is a ubiquitous endoribonuclease, found in archaea, bacteria and eukarya as well as chloroplasts and mitochondria. Lineage: Bacteria; Bacillati; Bacillota; Clostridia; Eubacteriales. The record is from RNAcentral.
CAAGUAAGCUGGACAGCCGCGCGCGCAGGCCGAAAGGCCGUUGCGUGAGGAAAGUCCGGGCUCCACAGGGCAGGGAUAACGGGUAACACCCGCCGGGGGCGACCCCAGGAAAAGUGCAACAGAAAUAGACUACCCCGCCGGACUUGUACCGGCGGGGAAAAGGUGGAAAGGCGAGGUAAGAGCUCACCCAAUGGCGUGUCAAAGCGCCCAUUGCUGUAAACUCUAUCCGGAGCAACGCCGUGGGAACACAACAGGCCGGCCCGGCCGUGUUCAGGAGGCGGCUGGAGCGCGUUGGCAACAGCGCGCCUAGAUAGAUGGCUGUCUUAAAUGACAGAACCCGGCUUACAGGCUUACUUGCACC